AGGAACACUUCCUUGCCCAUCAUCCUAACAUCAUUCAUUUUCAUCUCUUUUUGUCCUCUUCAGCAUAAAUUUGCUCCCAGAAGGAAACUGAGGAAAAUAUACAUGCAUUUAUGGUUUUACAUACAUAUAAAUUGAGGUGUCUUUUCAGCAGAGAACAUUACAGAAGUAGACCUCUUUGUUGGGACAUGGUAAGCACAUUCUUUAUCAUGGAAUUGUGUAAUGUUUUCACAGUGGCAUAAACCAUCAUGCAAUUUCCUCAUUUCUACAGAUUAUGAUUUGCCUUCAUUCAUAUUUCUAGAUAUGUAUGGUGUCAUGUAGUCAUGUAUGUAGUUAUACUCUACUUGAUGGAAAUUUCAGAAAUGUUAAAAUUCCUUAAUAAAAUGUCAGUCCUAGUCA
This 396-nucleotide long non-coding RNA is filed under the name Monodelphis domestica (gray short-tailed opossum). Its description in RNAcentral is "lncRNA (ENSMODG00000044370.1)". The record is from RNAcentral. Lineage: Eukaryota; Metazoa; Chordata; Mammalia; Didelphimorphia; Didelphidae.